GUAGUGAUCCUGGAAGUGGUCACUCUGGUCUUGCCUAUGCUCCCACUGUAUCUGCUGUGACCGCUUCCUCUGUUACAGGAUUGUAACCAUGUCCUCUCCAAAUUCCGAGCUGCCCAAAUAAAACAAUUGCGUCUCUUUUUAUCAUCAUUUUUCUCUCCCCCUUUCAAUCCUCCCAUCCCUGCUCCACGGCAUCUGCCGCAGAUGGGAGAGCUCUGGAUGGAACGUAGGUGCACACAAAUGCCAAGGAGAGUGGCCAGCACUUACUGCACACUUACCAUGUGCCAGGCCCCAAGCGGAGUCCUUUAUGUGCACCACCUCGUCGAAUGCUCCCUGCAACGCCGAGAGAACUGCCCCCAUUUGUUCUGCCACAUGCCCAUGUGGGUGAGCAGUGCGGGAUAGGUUGCCGAGAGACCAAAGACCCAGAGACAGCAAAUGAGACAUAUGGGCUUAUUGGGAGUUACUUACAGGGAAGGUCCAGUGGCGGCCAACUGGACAGCAACGUGCACCCGCUACCGCCCCCUGAGAGAAGCUUAAGUAGGCAGAGGAACAAAGGCUGCAUGCUUGCCAAGGGGGAUUGUCCCUGUAUGACCUGCAUUCCAAGGACCAGAGCGCCCCCAGAGAGCCUCUAUGUUCCCUCAGACCACAAGGGUCUCGGUGCUAACUCUCCCAUGAGAGCAGCUGGGUUGGCCAAGUCCAAGAUUGUUAUCAUCUUGAGUGUUGGCACAUAGCCCAGACAGGAGCCUUAAGGACACAUGGUCUUUAAAGGGGCACGCCAGCUACUGCCCCUAUAUCAUUUUACAGGGGAAGAAACUGGGGCCAAGUAACUAGCUCAAGGACUCACUGCUAGUAAAUGAUAGAGUCAGGAUUCACACCCAGGUCUAAUUUGACUCUAAGUCAGUGGUUCUCAGUGGACCACCAGCAUGCCCUGGGAACUUGUUGGAAAUGCAGAUUCUCAGGCUCCACCUGAGACCUGUUGAAUCAAAAUGCUGGGAGGUGAGCUCAACAAAGCUUUAACAAGCCCUCCAGGUGGUUCCAAUGUUUGAUUCUCAGGCUUGAAAACCACUGCCCUCACUGCUCCUUCACAGCCUCCCUUAUAGCCGGCACUCUGUGUGGACAGCCUUCUAGGAAAGGUGUGAGGUCCCUGCUCCUGGACAGGGGAAGGGGUUCUGAGGCGUAGGACCCUCUGGCCAGGGAGGCCUCCUGUAAGGUCACUGGAACUGACCCUGUCUCAAUAAGAGCGAAUACUCUGUCUUCUCCAAACUCAGGGUUUCUCUUGGUGGUCAGAGGAGGCUGCUUGCUGCCUGCCAGGCCUCACCUGGGGGCUCCUGAUUAAAGCCCCCGGCAGGACUUGGUUCUGUGACAGGGACUUCCUGGAGCUCAGCUUGGCUAGAAUCUGCCUGGAGAAUGAGAGGGCCUAGAAGUUGCCCAGAAGCUUCUGGACUCAAAAGGCAAAAGGGAGUAUGUUGGUGGUCACCUAUUGCACCUGCCACUCAUGGCGGAGAAACGCCCUGCCCCCAAGCACAGCUCAACUCUGACCUCCCGGGCCCCGGACCGAAGCCUUUGGUGGGAGGCUGAGCCAGCAGCUGUGGAGUUCGUCCUGUCCAGGUGUCCACCAGCCUGGCACGUGGCAGAGGUCCAGCCACGCUUCCAUCAGGCACUGAUCCCCUCCUGCCACCUCAGCCUCUGCACACACGGUGAAUAAGCUCAGGUUGGAGUCACAAGGAACAAGAUCCACGCCCUGGUUUCUGCCAGGUGCUAGGACUGCCCCUGUCCAGAGAUGCCCAGACAGAAGGUGACUGACAGAAAGGGUCAAGAGCAAGGCAGUCGGAUGCCAGCCCAGAAACUUCCCCCGGAGCACCUCUCAAUGCCGUUCUGACCGGGAAGCCGCGUUGUGGCUAAGUGGUUAAGACUUUUGCCUGUGGAGACAGGCUGCCUGGCCAGCCUCGAAUCUUGGCAGGUUUCUUUACCUAUCAAGUCAACACCAAAAUAGUACCACAAAAGGGUUGUCAUGAGGAACAAACAAGAGAAUCCGUGGGAAGUGCUUUAGACCCAUGCCCAGCUUUGUAAGCUCUUAAAGAAAUCCUUGCUGAACCCAUUCCCAUGAUUAGGAGGCAAACUGGCACUUUUCAGCUUUCUCCAGCACCCCCUCGUUGCCUGUGGUUGGGGGAAGGUGGUAGAUCGCGAGGUGAGAGGCUGGGACCUGGUGUGUUCAGCAUGAGUUUGCAGGACACUCUCAGCGAGCCCCUGCUGAUGCUGGGGUGGUCCGGAUCUUGUGGAUCCAGGCAGUAUGGGCAGCUGGUGGGGCACCAGGUGACAUCCCAGCAUACACGGGAUGGGAGGCGUUCUUCCCCAGCUCCCCUCUUGGUACCCUGGGAUCCCUGGUAUUCUAUGUCCUUCUUUCCCAGCCUGCGCUUGUCACUUUCUUGGCUUCUGCAACACCACACUUGCCUGAUGCUCUCCUUCUCUCAUUGUCUUUUCUGGGCCCUCCUCACUGUCUCGUGUGCUUAGGGCUUACACCCCGGACCCUUCAUUUCUCUCCUGUCUCCACUCCCUCCCUUUGGCCUCAUCCAUUCUGGUAGAUAUAAGCACCAUCUCCAGUCCUAGCUGCACCCUAGAACUCCAGACCCACAACUGCUUCCCCAGCCCCUCAACUUGACAUGUCCAGGCUGGAGCUCUAAUCUCACCCUCUGGUCCUGCUCCGCCCCCUGCCGGGAGUGCAGCCCAGCCUUCCAGUUGUUCAGGCCAGGAGCCUGGGAUUGACUCGAGCUGUCUUGACUCGGUUUUCUUCUCUCUCCCACUCUGACCUGAGAGGCACAUGUACAGCUUUUCAGAAGCCCCCCAGUUUUGAGUGUACCUCCCAGAGAUUCUGAUGUGACUGUUUGCUGGUGGGGCCUGGCAUUUGUUUAUUUUAAAAGCUCCCAGGUGACUCAGGUUGCUUAUUCAUUCAUUCACUCAUUCACAAGCCUUUGUUCUGUGACCACUGUGUGCCAGGCACUAGAAGUCUAGCCCUUAAGCUGAGCACUUCUGAAGUAUAAGCACAUAGUGGGUACUCGUGUUUUGCUGGGUGAAGGUGCAUCCGAUGGAGGUGGUGACCCUGACCCCUCUCCCCCUAACAGAGAACCAAUAAGAUGGCUGGGUGACAGAGGGGCUGUGCAAGUCCUCAGACUCCCCCACCCACCAUAGUCCCUGUGUCCUCCCCCCACCCAGCUCCCUGGAAGCCAGGCGCACACCGCCAUGGCUGGCAGGGGGCUGUUCAGGGUCUGGCGGCCUGGGAAGCUCGGUUGUUGCCAUGGUGAUGAUGUGCGUCUGUUCAGCAGAGAACUUUGAAGUUGACUUGGAUGUGGGACAACAAAGGCGCCUCCAUCUUGGAUGCAAAUUGUGGCUUCCUUUCAUCCUCCUGGGCCCUUUCCUGCUCUGCUUUUGUUCUUGCCAUUUAGAUCAGAGAAUAAAACCCUUUCAAAUGUUGUAAAUUCAAAACAUAGGCAAUUAAGGGGCCUCUCAGAGGUUCAAGCCCCCCUUAGUCUCUUUAAGAAGCAGUUGCAUGUGUAGAAAAACAGAUGAUUGUGAAAAGGGAGUCAGCAUCUCCUGGAUGUUACAAUCCAACCAACAUCUACUGAGCGCCUACUGUGUGCCAGGCCCCGGGGGACUGGGGAUCUGGUGUGGUACAGGACCCACCAAAUCUCUGUUCCUCAGAGCUUACUUUCAGGACCAUGGCUCUGUGCCUCAGUUUCCCCAGUGUACAAGGAGGCUGAAGUAGCCCAGGGGUUUUCAUAUGGUGUUUUCUGAAACCCAGGCGAAGGUCCCAGUCGCUUCCCCCCAUUUUGGCCUGAAGAGCUUUGCUUUGCUCUGGUUUUAUGUACUCUGUUCCCUAUAAUAUUGUGUUUGAAGAAAGAAGUCCAAAACUGAAAAAAAAACCCAAAAAACAAAGGGUGGGAUGGAAAUGAAAACCACUGGUCAAGGAUUCCCUAAGGCUUUUUCUAGAAGGAAUGUUCUGUGAUGCUCACCACUAAGGAGACUGCAGAUUCCCCGGGCUGUUCGGCCACAUAGAGACUCACACACAGAAGGCAAGCUGCCUUUAGGAUGUACACCCACCUGGAUGGCUGACAUCCUGCCUUCAUUUUAAAUAAAGUAAGAAGCCUCAGACAGGGUUGGAAAGAGCAAAUCCUGUUACGUUUCUCACCCAGUAGACCCAGGGCUUCACUUCUAAGGCAUCUGUCCUUCUCAGACUCUGGACCCGCCCUCGCCCCUUCCUCAGGGAGCUUUGCCUGGCCGGCAGCCUGCAGGGCCCACGCCCUCCUCCGAGCUCCCCUGGCCCACCCUGGCCUCCACACAUCCACCAGGGAGGACCUGGGGCCUGUCUUGUCUCCCCAGCGGGACCACGUGUUCUCACAGCGCGAUGUGUCCUGAAGAAAUGUAAUUUGAUGAGCAACUGGGCGCCCCGCUGGUACUGCUUGUUCUCUGGGCCCUGCCCCUCACCCUGUACCUUGCCUCGGUUGUCUCCUGAAGUGCAGGAGAGCCUGGUGGGCAGUGCGCAGAGCCACCUGCCUUCCCUCCCUCGGCAGCACCCUCCCCUCCUCCUUCCCAACAGGUGACUGAGAGACACCAGGCCUGAUUACAGCGGUGACAUGAGUCUUUCCCAAAAGCCAUUUAUACUGUCUGGGUGGGGAACCGGGAAGUAGGUCGGGGACCAUGUUUUAUUGACUAUCUCUUGUCUUGAGGAGCCACAGGAAAGCUUUAUUAACACAACCAGACAAUCUCAUUUAGGGCCAUUGCACGGCCUGGGCCCACUCGAGGUUCAAGCCGGUAUUUUACCCCGGGCUGAGUCUUCUCGUAUUGAUUUCUUUAGAAGGCACGUUACCUUUCUCCCUGAAGGCCAAGCUGAUGCAAAGAGCAAAGAGAGAUUCUGGACUGGAGAACCACUUCUAGCAAAACACCCUGAGCUUGGCGAAGUCGCCCCCCCUGUGUGGGGCUGUUGAAAUUGUGCUCUGUGCUUGAUCAUCGUGGGAUCCAUCCAGAGAUCAGAGGCUCCCAGGGGGCUGAGGCCGUGUCUCCCACUUCGCUCUGCACGGUUCCAGGCGCACAGUGGGCCUGCAGUAGAGACAGGAGUAGGGACUGUCUGCUGCCGGGCAUGUAGGACAGCAGCCUCUUGGCGUCAACAGCUUUGGGGAACCCCUUCCUUCUGGUGAUGUGGAGGUUAGCGUCUCCAGCAUCCCAGGGCUGCCACCCAGCCCCUCCCUCACCCUCUGGGGAACGUGAGCUGUGGGGAGCAGAGGGGAUGGAGCAUGUCAAGAUCUGCCACAGGCUGGUGGGUGGGGCACACAGUUUACAACCCACCUUCUCAUCCGGCUGCCACAGCCCAGGGAUAAGCCCCGGAAGUGGGAACUGCUGCUGACACAUUUGGAGGAAAUGGCAUCUUUGCUUGUGAAUCUCAAUACAAGUGGUUUUCAUCCAGGGACACUUGGCCCCUGAGAAAUCCUCCAGCCACCAGCGAGAGGGAAGGUUUCCGUGGAGCACACACCCACACGGCCUUUUCACACAGCGUUUCCCUGAGGCUUUCGUAACUCCCCCACUCUAGAGAGGAGUGGUCCUCAUUCUCCAGAAGAGGGAGGAAGCCCUGCAGAAGGUGAUGACUGCCCACAGAUGGGUUUCCAGAAGGCGGACGGCCCGGGCGGGGCCCUAAGCAAGGCAGAUGGCGCCUGCCCACCUGGGUGGUGGACAUCAGUCUCCCUGGCCUUCAGGGUGGCCCUCUGCCCGAGGAUCCUGUGGCAUGGCUUCCCUUGGCAGUGACUCCACGUCACUCAGGCCUGAGGCCUAACAGUUCCCCCUUCCCACUCCCCAUUCCAGUCCUCCUCGAGCCUGGGACUUUGUUCUGAGCCCUCUUCCUCCCUCCUUGCCUCCGACAAGCCCACACUGCCACAUGCGCCCCGACAGCAGCAUUAACUUCCCAUCCCCCACUUGGGGCCUCCCACUCGCCCCAGAAUACCGUGGAGCCAUGUGGACUUGGAUAUGGGAUUUCACCCCAUACCUGUGGUAUAUUGAUGAGCGCCCCGCCCCCACUGCACCUACCUCCCUGAGGGCAGGACAACUGGUUUGCUCAGCACUAUGUCCUCAGAGCCUAGCACAAGGCUAGGCACAUAGUGGGUGCUCAAUAAAAAUGAAUGAAUGAACAUCAGACAACACAAGAGGGGCCUUAAAUAUGUGGCCAGACUUCAGGCCACAGGAAGGCCUCCCAGAGGAGGCCACACCCCUGGUGUUGGGCUGGAAGGCUGAGCCAGGGUCUGGACCUGGGAG
Long non-coding RNA from Equus asinus (donkey), 6291 nucleotides. The record is from Ensembl. Lineage: Eukaryota; Metazoa; Chordata; Mammalia; Perissodactyla; Equidae.